GAUGAACGCUGGCGGCAUGCCUUACACAUGCAAGUCGAACGGCAGCACGGACUUCGGUCUGGUGGCGAGUGGCGAACGGGUGAGUAAUAUAUCGGAACAUACCCUAGAGUGGGGAUAACGUAGCGAAAGUUACGCUAAUACCGCAUACGAACUAAGGUUGAAAGUGGGGGAUCGCAAGACCUCAUGCUCAUGGAGUGGCCGAUAUCAGAUUAGGUAGUUGGUGAGGUAAAGGCUCACCAAGCCGACGAUCNGUAGCUGGUCUGAGAGGACGACCAGCCACACUGGACUGAGACACGG
RNAcentral lists this ribosomal RNA (297 nucleotides) under uncultured bacterium. RNAcentral describes it as "partial 16S ribosomal RNA". It matches the Rfam family "Bacterial small subunit ribosomal RNA", at positions 28 to 329 of the family's 1533-position model. The record is from RNAcentral.